CACCACGUCAUCAGAAAAGGCGUCAGACUGCUGUGCGCGCCCGCCCGGCCCGCCAGGAAAGCCUUACUGUGGACAAGCUGCAGCCUUGUCUCUGUCCAUUCUCCUGAGAAGAUCCACAUCUCUAAGGAGGAAACAAGAUGCAACAGCAUCCUCUUCCAUACGACUGUCUAUGUCCCCUGGCUAUCACUCUUAAGAAUCCAGGUAUGCAGGAGCAAGCCAGGUGAAGACAGGUGCAGUUGGGACCUGGGCUGCCGGGAGCUCAGACAGAGCUCGGAUGCUUGCUUCCCUUUCCAAGUCUUAAAGGACUGUGUUUUCUGGUUCAGAAAUAUCACAAUCAAG
RNAcentral lists this long non-coding RNA (339 nucleotides) under Mus pahari (shrew mouse). RNAcentral's name for it is "lncRNA (MGP_PahariEiJ_G0005599.1)". Lineage: Eukaryota; Metazoa; Chordata; Mammalia; Rodentia; Muridae. The record is from RNAcentral.